GCCCGCAGGUCCCGAGGCGCUUGCAGGGGACUCUGCCGCGGAAAGUUCCCAGUCCCCAGCCGCAGAAGAUUUUUAUUUUUGGUUGAUUCCUGCUGUCUACUCCUCUUGGGGUUAACUGUUAGCUUUUCACAGCUACACUGGAAAGCAAGAAGGGAAUCCAAACCUAACCAAAUGAAGCCAAAUACCUCAAAAUAUGUGAAAUGUAUAAAGCGAAAACGAUGUGUUUCUGAUAUGAGACACUGAGUGAAGAGAAGUUCUCUCCUGGGUAUCAUGCUGGAUGGCCCUUCUCACUUACCUGCUGCUGCAGAACUUGAUGACAGAGGGAGAUACAAAAAAGGAGAUGGGAAGCCUCACAAUGUGGAA
This is a long non-coding RNA of Mus pahari (shrew mouse), 363 nucleotides long. RefSeq lists it as uncharacterized. Lineage: Eukaryota; Metazoa; Chordata; Mammalia; Rodentia; Muridae. The transcript has 3 exons. The record is from RefSeq and is a predicted model, not a curated record.